GGCUGGUCCAAAGGUAGUCAGUUAUCUCACUUGAUUGUUCACAGUCAGUUACAGAUUGAACUCCUUGUUCUACUACUUUCCCCCCUCCUCACUACUGCACUUGACUAGUCUUAA
This is an unclassified non-coding RNA of Propithecus coquereli (Coquerel's sifaka), 114 nucleotides long. It matches the Rfam family "Y RNA". Rfam says of the family: Y RNAs are components of the Ro ribonucleoprotein particle (Ro RNP), in association with Ro60 and La proteins. The Y RNAs and Ro60 and La proteins are well conserved, but the function of the Ro RNP is not known. In humans the RNA component can be one of four small RNAs -- hY1, hY3, hY4 and hY5. The record is from Ensembl. Lineage: Eukaryota; Metazoa; Chordata; Mammalia; Primates; Indriidae.